RNAcentral lists this long non-coding RNA (639 nucleotides) under Homo sapiens (human). RNAcentral describes it as "lncAB300.1". The record is from RNAcentral. Lineage: Eukaryota; Metazoa; Chordata; Mammalia; Primates; Hominidae.
ACAGAUGGUAGUGCUCCUAGAAAUAUUUCUUCUUCUAGCUUAUGUGCUUUGGAACUACACAUGUAUAACCAAUGACUGACUCUGAAAUAUCAAGCACUGUGGGGUGGCUGGAAGGUAAAGGUCUAAGCUUUGUGAAACACUAUACAUAUAUAAUCUAUAUUUACUUAUAUUGGCAAUUAAUAUAACAGUAAAAGUCACAAUACACCUAGAACAUACCAGAAAAGCAAGCUUUGUCAUUCCUGCUUUACCGGUAUGAUCUCGUCUAAACAAACAUUUCAUUUCAGAAAAUCUGCAUCAAUCUACACGGACCAUACACAGUGCACAAACUGAAAAGGGCUUUUUUUUUUUUUUUUCUAGCUCCACCAUCUCUGCAACUUGCCAAGAUGCGGCAAGACUAUCUGCAACAAAGUAAAAUAUACAGGUUUUUUAUUCCACCAGUGCCUCAGAUAGAUAGGAAAAAGAUAUGAUUACGGUUUAAAUCCAUACAUAGCAGCUUACAAUACUUAAGAUGAUGAACACAUGGCAGUCAAGACAGGUAAUUUUUCCUCACAACAGUGCAUGGCUAAAAAUAAAGAUCUAACAACGAUCUGUGAAACUGCACUGCAACGUCAAGGUUCGUUCUUCCCUGACCCUCCCCCG